This 571-nucleotide ribosomal RNA is filed under the name Tsukamurella pulmonis. RNAcentral describes it as "bacterial SSU rRNA". It matches the Rfam family "Bacterial small subunit ribosomal RNA", at positions 1 to 584 of the family's 1533-position model. Lineage: Bacteria; Bacillati; Actinomycetota; Actinomycetes; Mycobacteriales; Tsukamurellaceae. The record is from RNAcentral.
UUUUUUAUGGAGAGUUUGAUCCUGGCUCAGGACGAACGCUGGCGGCGUGCUUAACACAUGCAAGUCGAACGGUAAGGCCCCUUCGGGGGUACACGAGUGGCGAACGGGUGAGUAACACGUGGGUGACCUGCCCUGUACUUCGGGAUAAGCCUGGGAAACUGGGUCUAAUACCGGAUAUGACCUUCCCCUGCAUGGGGGUUGGUGGAAAGCUUUUGCGGUACAGGAUGGGCCCGCGGCCUAUCAGCUUGUUGGUGGGGUAAUGGCCUACCAAGGCGACGACGGGUAGCCGGCCUGAGAGGGCGACCGGCCACACUGGGACUGAGACACGGCCCAGACUCCUACGGGAGGCAGCAGUGGGGAAUAUUGCACAAUGGGCGAAAGCCUGAUGCAGCGACGCCGCGUGAGGGAUGACGGCCUUCGGGUUGUAAACCUCUUUCAGUAGGGACGAAGCGCAAGUGACGGUACCUACAGAAGAAGCACCGGCCAACUACGUGCCAGCAGCCGCGGUAAUACGUAGGGUGCGAGCGUUGUCCGGAUUUACUGGGCGUAAAGAGCUCGUAGGCGGUUUGUC